GGCUGCGCCAUGCUCCUGCAUCUUAUGUGAUUCUGAUGAAGAAAGAAAAACUCCCACUGAAGCGACUGAGAGACGCACUAUUAUAAAGAUGGCGUUUAUUAAAGAGGAGACAUGAAGAUUGAAGAAGCAUUCAGAGUCAAACAUGAAGAUACUGAGGAACAAACAGGUUAGUUUUCCUUCUCAAAGCUGAACUCACUCAUUUGAUCCUU
This 209-nucleotide long non-coding RNA is filed under the name Sinocyclocheilus anshuiensis. RNAcentral's name for it is "lncRNA (ENSSANG00000010286.1)". The record is from RNAcentral. Lineage: Eukaryota; Metazoa; Chordata; Actinopteri; Cypriniformes; Cyprinidae.